Molecule: ribosomal RNA, 404 nt
Filed under: Camaenidae sp. WT1
Lineage: Eukaryota; Metazoa; Mollusca; Gastropoda; Stylommatophora; Camaenidae
Description: partial 16S ribosomal RNA
Rfam family: Bacterial large subunit ribosomal RNA
Source: RNAcentral
CAAAAACAUAGCCAUGAGGAUGUACUUAUGGUGUUUUCUGCUCAAUGAGGGAUUAAAUAGCCGCAGUACACUGACUGUGCAAAGGUAGCGUAAUCAUUUGUCUUUUAAUUGAAGUCCUGUAUGAACGAAUAUAUGGGGGCUCACUUUACCAGUAAUAUUAUGUGAAGUUGCUUAGUGAGUGUAAAUACUCACUUAUUAACAUAAGACGAGAAGACCCUAGAAAUUUGCGUAUAGUGUUUUGUUGGGGCAACAUAGUAGCAAAUAACCUACUAUAUGUAUAUGAAAAUUUUUAGGUAAAGAAAAUUACUCUAGGGAUAACAGCAUAAUUUAUAAAUGUUUGUGACCUCGAUGUUGGAUUAGGAAAUUGUAACUUAGAAGGUGGUCAAUAGUGCUCUGUUCGAGCA